AGGACGAACGCUUGCGACGUGCCUAAGAAAUGCAAGUCGAACGGAAUUACCUUCGGGUAGUUUAGUGGCGAACGGUCGCGUAACACGUAGGCAACCUGCCCUGAAGCGGGGGACAACAACUCGAAAGAGUUGCUAAUACCGCAUGUGUAUCGGAAUGGCAUCAUUCAGGAUACAAAGGACUUCGGUUCACUUCAGGAUGGGCCUGCGGCCUAUCAGCUAGUUGGUAAGGUAACGGCUUACCAAGGCUUCGACGGGUAGCUGGUCUGAGAGGACGAUCAGCCGGAUUGGGACUGAGAUACGGCCCAGACUCCUACGGGGGGCAGCAAUUAGGAAUCUUGCGCAAUGGGCGAAAGCCUGACGCAGCGACGUCGCGUGAAGGAUGAAAUCUUUCGGGAUGUAAACUUCUUUUACCAGGGAAGAAACAAUGACGGUACCUGGUGAAUAAGCCCCGGCUAACUACGCGCCAGCAGCCGC
Molecule: ribosomal RNA, 474 nt
Filed under: uncultured bacterium
Lineage: Bacteria
Description: SSU rRNA
Rfam family: Bacterial small subunit ribosomal RNA
Source: RNAcentral